RNAcentral lists this transfer RNA (74 nucleotides) under Candidatus Saccharibacteria bacterium RIFCSPHIGHO2_02_FULL_47_12. Its description in RNAcentral is "tRNA-Gly". It matches the Rfam family "tRNA". Rfam says of the family: Transfer RNA (tRNA) molecules are approximately 80 nucleotides in length. Their secondary structure includes four short double-helical elements and three loops (D, anti-codon, and T loops). Further hydrogen bonds mediate the characteristic L-shaped molecular structure. tRNAs have two regions of fundamental functional importance: the anti-codon, which is responsible for specific mRNA codon recognition, and the 3' end, to which the tRNAs corresponding amino acid is attached (by aminoacyl-tRNA synthetases). tRNAs cope with the degeneracy of the genetic code in two manners: having more than one tRNA (with a specific anti-codon) for a particular amino acid; and 'wobble' base-pairing, i.e. permitting non-standard base-pairing at the 3rd anti-codon position. RNAcentral also lists the same sequence under 1 other name. The record is from RNAcentral. Lineage: Bacteria; Candidatus Saccharimonadota.
GCGGGAUUAGUAUAAUGAUAGUACGCUUGCUUCCCAAGCAAGAGGCACGAGUUUGAUUCUCGUAUCCCGCACCA